UACAGAGGGUGCGAGCGUUAAUCGGAAUUACUGGGCGUAAAGCGUGCGUAGACGGUUAUUUAAGUCGGAUGUGAAAGCCCCGGGCUCAACCUGGGAAUUGCAUUCGAGACUGAAUAGCUAGAGUGCGGUAGAGGGAAGCGGAAUUUCCGGUGUAGCGGUGAAAUGCGUAGAUAUCUGGAGGAACACCGGUGGCGAAGGCGGCAUCCUGGACCGGCAUUGACGCUGAGGCGCGAAAGCUAGGGGAGCAAACGGG
Molecule: ribosomal RNA, 253 nt
Filed under: uncultured bacterium
Lineage: Bacteria
Description: partial 16S ribosomal RNA
Rfam family: Bacterial small subunit ribosomal RNA
Source: RNAcentral